RNAcentral lists this unclassified non-coding RNA (211 nucleotides) under Hevea brasiliensis (rubber tree). The record is from RNAcentral. Lineage: Eukaryota; Viridiplantae; Streptophyta; Magnoliopsida; Malpighiales; Euphorbiaceae.
UACUGAGGUUUACAACUUCUCUCAAGAUGAUUUGUUGACUGAGGAUAUAUUGAUACUUGACACCCAUGAAGAGAUAUUUGUUUGGGUUGGACAGUCUGUGGAUUCUAAAGAAAAGCAGAACGCUUUUGAUAUAGGCCAGAAAUACAUAGAUCUUGCAAUCACACUGGAAGGGCUUUCUCCAGACGUACCGCUUUAUAAAAUUACCGAAGGG